GACGAACGCUGGCGGCGUGCUUAACACAUGCAAGUCGAACGGAAAGGCCCUGCUUUUGUGGGGUGCUCGAGUGGCGAACGGGUGAGUAACACGUGAGUAACCUGCCCUUGACUUUGGGAUAACUUCAGGAAACUGGGGCUAAUACCGGAUAGGAGCUCCUGCUGCAUGGUGGGGGUUGGAAAGUUUCGGCGGUUGGGGAUGGACUCGCGGCUUAUCAGCUUGUUGGAGGGGUAGUGGCUUACCAAGGCUUUGACGGGUAGCCGGCCUGAGAGGGUGACCGGCCACAUUGGGACUGAGAUACGGCGCAGACUCCUACGGGAGGCAGCAGUGGGGAAUAUUGCACAAUGGGCGGAAGCCUGAUGCAGCAACGCCGCGUGCGGGAUGACGGCCUUCGGGUUGUAAACCGCUUUCGCCUGUGACGAAGCGUGAGUGACGGUAAUGGGUAAAGAAGCACCGGCUAACUACGUG
RNAcentral lists this ribosomal RNA (468 nucleotides) under uncultured bacterium. Its description in RNAcentral is "partial 16S ribosomal RNA". It matches the Rfam family "Bacterial small subunit ribosomal RNA", at positions 28 to 507 of the family's 1533-position model. The record is from RNAcentral.